This 426-nucleotide unclassified non-coding RNA is filed under the name fungal sp. RNAcentral describes it as "partial internal transcribed spacer region". The stretch from base 1 to 46 matches the Rfam family "Eukaryotic small subunit ribosomal RNA", at positions 1786 to 1831 of the family's 1831-position model. The record is from RNAcentral. Lineage: Eukaryota; Fungi.
AAGUCGUAACAAGGUUUCCGUAGGUGAACCUGCGGAAGGAUCAUUUCCGAAAAAAAAAACAUAAUAACCCAUUAACCCCUACACUGAGAGAAAUGAAGGUUGGAGGAGGAGGAGGAAGGAGGAGGGAGAUUUAUUUCUUUUCUUCUUCUUCUCUUUUCUUUGCUUUCGUUUUUUCUUUUUGUUCAUGUGUACUUGAUAUGUUUAUUCAUAUCAUUUUAGUCCAAGUGUCUCCCCUUUUUUUUUACUCUCGAAGACUUCUUUUUUUGUAAGUCGGAGAGAGGCCAUUGAAGAACCCCUUUUAUCCUUGUCAGAAUACUUAUUUUGAUGUGGAGAAAAAAACAAAUUAAAAGUUAUUUAAUCCUUUUGAAACAUAAAGAAUGAAACAAAUUUAUACGACAACUUUUAACGGUGGAUCUCUUGGCUCGU